This 768-nucleotide ribosomal RNA is filed under the name uncultured bacterium. RNAcentral's name for it is "bacterial SSU rRNA". It matches the Rfam family "Bacterial small subunit ribosomal RNA", at positions 11 to 774 of the family's 1533-position model. The record is from RNAcentral.
GUUUGAUCAUGGCUCAGAUUGAACGCUGGCGGCAUGCUUUACACAUGCAAGUCGAACGGGGGUGGGGGCAACUCCACUUCAGUGGCGAACGGGUGAGUAAUGCAUCGGAACGUGUCCCGCAGUGGGGGAUAACGCCGCGAAAGCGGCGCUAAUACCGCAUACGCUCUGUGGAGCAAAGCCGGGGACCCGCAAGGGCCUGGUGCUGGGGGAGCGGCCGAUGUCCGAUUAGCUAGUUGGUGGGGUAAUGGCUCACCAAGGCAACGAUCGGUAGCUGGUCUGAGAGGAUGAUCAGCCACACUGGGACUGAGACACGGCCCAGACUCCUACGGGAGGCAGCAGUGGGGAAUUUUGGACAAUGGGGGCAACCCUGAUCCAGCCAUGCCGCGUGCGGGAAGAAGGCCUUCGGGUUGUAAACCGCUUUUAGCCGGGAAGAAAAGGCGCGGGCGAAUACCCCGUGUUUUUGACGGUACCGGCGGAAUAAGCACCGGCUAACUACGUGCCAGCAGCCGCGGUAAUACGUAGGGUGCGAGCGUUAAUCGGAAUUACUGGGCGUAAAGCGUGCGCAGGCGGUUCGUUGUGUCGGUGGUGAAAGCCCCGGGCUUAACCUGGGAAUGGCCAUGGAAACUGGCGAACUGGAGUGUGGCAGAGGGGGGUGGGAAUUCCGCGUGUAGCAGUGAAAUGCGUAGAGAUGCGGAGGAACACCGAUGGCGAAGGCAGCCCCCCGGGGCUAGCACUGACGCUCAGGCACGAAAGCGUGGGGAGCAAAAC